This 274-nucleotide ribosomal RNA is filed under the name uncultured bacterium. Its description in RNAcentral is "partial 16S ribosomal RNA". It matches the Rfam family "Bacterial small subunit ribosomal RNA", at positions 523 to 796 of the family's 1533-position model. The record is from RNAcentral.
AUACGGAGGGUGCAAGCGUUAAUCGGAAUUACUGGGCGUAAAGGGCGCGUAGGUGGUUCUGUAAGUCGGGUGUGAAAGCCCCGGGCUCAACCUGGGAAUUGCAUUCGAUACUGCAGGACUAGAGUAUGGUAGAGGAAAGCGGAAUUCCCGGUGUAGCGGUGAAAUGCGUAGAUAUCAGGAGGAACACCAGUGGCGAAGGCGGCUUUCUGGACCAAUACUGACACUCAGGCGCGAAAGCUUGGGGAGCAAACAGGAUUAGAUACCCCAGUAGUCC